GAAAUGCGAUAAGUAGUGUGAAUUGCAGAAUUCAGUGAAUCAUCGAAUCUUUGAACGCACAUUGCGCCCUUUGGUAUUCCUUAGGGCAUGCCUGUUCGAGCAUCAUCUAAACCUUCAAGCCCUGCUUGGUGUUGGGUGCCUGUCCCGCCUCCGCGCGCGGACUCACCUCAAAUCCAUUGGCGGCCCCCGCGUCGGCCACGAGCGCAGCAGAAACGCGAACUCGUGAGCCCGUCCGGGCGGCUCCCAGAAGCUACACCCACCCAGUUUGACCUCGGAUCAGGUAGGGAUACCCGCUGAACUUAAGC
This 305-nucleotide unclassified non-coding RNA is filed under the name plant metagenome. RNAcentral describes it as "partial contains 5.8S ribosomal RNA, internal transcribed spacer 2, and large subunit ribosomal RNA". The stretch from base 1 to 105 matches the Rfam family "5.8S ribosomal RNA", at positions 50 to 154 of the family's 154-position model. The record is from RNAcentral.